This 72-nucleotide transfer RNA is filed under the name Patescibacteria group bacterium. Its description in RNAcentral is "tRNA-Arg". It matches the Rfam family "tRNA". From Rfam's summary of the family: Transfer RNA (tRNA) molecules are approximately 80 nucleotides in length. Their secondary structure includes four short double-helical elements and three loops (D, anti-codon, and T loops). The record is from RNAcentral. RNAcentral also lists the same sequence under 1 other name.
GCCCUCGUAGCUCAAUGGAUGAGCGGCUCCGUCCUAAGGAGAAGAUUGCAGGUUCGACUCCUGCCGAGGGCA